AGUGGGGAAUAUUGGACAAUGGGCGCAAGCCUGAUCCAGCCAUGCCGCGUGAGUGAUGAAGGCCUUAGGGUUGUAAAGCUCUUUCACCGAUGAAGAUAAUGACGGUAGUCGGAGAAGAAGCCCCGGCUAACUUCGUGCCAGCAGCCGCGGUAAUACGAAGGGGGCUAGCGUUGUUCGGAUUUACUGGGCGUAAAGCGCACGUAGGCGGUUUGUUAAGUCAGGGGUGAAAUCCCAGAGCUCAACUCUGGAACUGCCUUUGAUACUGGCAAGCUAGAGUCCGGAAGAGGUAAGUGGAACUCCUAGUGUAGAGGUGGAAUUCGUAGAUAUUAGGAAGAACACCAGUGGCGAAGGCGGCUUACUGGUCCGGAACUGACGCUGAGGUGCGAAAGCGUGGGGAGCAAA
Molecule: ribosomal RNA, 402 nt
Filed under: uncultured Pseudomonas sp.
Lineage: Bacteria; Pseudomonadati; Pseudomonadota; Gammaproteobacteria; Pseudomonadales; Pseudomonadaceae
Description: bacterial SSU rRNA
Rfam family: Bacterial small subunit ribosomal RNA
Source: RNAcentral